UUAUAGCAGAGUGGGUAGGUUACCCUUCUUCUAUACCAGUUGCCGCUUCACCAUUCUCCUCCACCAAUAACUCCAUUAAUCCCCACCACAUGCCGGUGCUCCCUUAUCCUCUUUACUUUUCUUCUAUGUGAUUGAAAUAUACAGUUUGGAAUAUGGGAAUUUCUUUUUUAUUCUAGGGUUUUUGUUGGAAGACACCAAAACAAUGACCAUCAUCUAAUAACCGCACCUACUCCCUUCUCCCCGGGACUCUCCACGGUAACACAUGUAUGCUUCGUUUCUCUCUUCUUCACCCUAUUCUUUUCGAUUUAUUGUUUGAUUUUCAAUUCCUAAUAUCUCUUUUCACAUAAUCAAAUUUUUUACUUAAUUUUUGUUGUUACAGGGUUUUGAUUUUAUGUAAUGGAUUAAAAAUCACAAUUUCAAAAUUCAUCAGCUAAAAGGAAAGCGGUUUUCGUUAAUAUCCAUCUUCAUAUUCUGAUCCUGACUUACUUUUUCUCUCGAUUUGGUUAUCAUUUUUUACUAGAAAAAAUAUGUUUUUUUGGUUGAUUUUCUUACUCUUCCUAUGCAGAAGACGAUAACAACAAGAUAAGAAGGCUCUAUCAAACGUUUUCAAGGUAUCAACAAGUAAAAGGUAACGUCACUACUUUUGUGGUUUGUAGACUUGGCCUCGAGCCCUUACUGCAUCUUCUUUCCAGUUUUUUUUUAGAAUAAAAUGUUAAAUGAAUGAAGCAUACAUAUAGAAUUUGCUUUCCCUAUGUGCCCUGAACCCCGUUUGUAGUCACCAGGUUUAAAAGUGACCUACAUUCUAUGUAUCCAUGGCAGCUACAUGACCCACCUGGUCACCUCUUGUUUUUUUUCACUAAACAUGAUUAUCUAUUUUAUGAUAUAAGGUGUUGAAGACAUCGAUUGGGCCGUAGAGAUGCUCAUAUCCAUUGAUUUGAAGGUUGUUAACAUCCUGCUUGAUUGUGUAAGUCAAGAUUAUAAAAGUAUCUUAUGAUAAUGAAUGGAUUAAAAAAUAAUUUUAAUGAUUAUAAGUAACAAAAGUCUUAUCAUCUACAUUUAUCGUUUCCUCAGUAAUGAAGUUUUGGGUUGUUAGUUUUUGAAAUGGUCCUACAAGAAAAUUGAACUUACCAAUUAUGGUUACCGUAAAAACAUUACCUUCGUAUUACUUCAUGCAAACGUCAUAAAGAGUUAUAAUUUUGGUUCCUGUAGUGUACAUUUUUUAGCUUUGUAAGGGCAGAAUAGUCAUAUUUAUAGUAUUCACAUCUAUCUUGUUUCAUGCAUUCAUGGUGUCUCAUGUUCAAGGCAGUAUAAUUAUCCCAGAACGUGAAGUAGUUAUAAGUGCAAAACCAUGAUUUGGUGGUGGUGUGUGAACUUCACUUUUUCUUUCUCUUUGUUUUAUAUGGUCACCAUUUCUUAACAUUGCUUUCCUCUUGUUUUUGUACAGGUGAAGAAGAAUAUGUGGGUUUUCUUUUCAACUUUUUCACUGUUGUUCUCUGGUAAUGUGAAAGGGGCCUCAUUUUGCUAAUUUUGUGUCUUCGGUGUUUAUGUUUACAUAACCUUUUGGGCUCUUAUCUUCCGAUUUUCGGGUGUAAAAAAUUAUAAAUCUUUUUGCUAUAUUCUUAAAAUGAUAUUGGACUAAGAAAAGAAACAUGUAUAGUAUUAUUCUAGAGUCUAAAUUUUGUUCUUUGUGAUCUGUUUUAGAUUUCUUUUUUUAGAAACAUAAAGAUGAAAUUUUCUUUCCUUGAUAACUUG
Molecule: long non-coding RNA, 1752 nt
Filed under: Lactuca sativa (garden lettuce)
Lineage: Eukaryota; Viridiplantae; Streptophyta; Magnoliopsida; Asterales; Asteraceae
Description: long non-coding RNA (LSAT_LNC005963)
Source: RNAcentral